RNAcentral lists this ribosomal RNA (848 nucleotides) under uncultured Actinomycetes bacterium. Its description in RNAcentral is "SSU rRNA". It matches the Rfam family "Bacterial small subunit ribosomal RNA", at positions 38 to 899 of the family's 1533-position model. Lineage: Bacteria; Bacillati; Actinomycetota; Actinomycetes. The record is from RNAcentral.
GGCGGCGGGCCUAACACAUGCAAGUCGAACGCACUCGACCUUCGGGUCACAUGAGUGAGUGGCGAACGGGUGAGUAACACGUGAGGAACCUGCCCCGAAGACUGGAAUAACCCGAGGAAACUCGGGCUAAUACCGGAUAUCCCCACCAGGUCGCAUGGCCAGGUGAGGAAAUGCUCCGGCGCUUCGGGAGGGUCUCGCGGCCUAUCAGCUAGUUGGUGAGGUAACGGCUCACCAAGGCAUCGACGGGUAGCUGGUCUGAGAGGACGAUCAGCCACACUGGGACUGAGACACGGCCCAGACUCCUACGGGAGGCAGCAGUGGGGAAUCUUGCGCAAUGGGCGAAAGCCUGACGCAGCCACGCCGCGUGAGGGAUGAAGGCUUUCGGGUUGUAAACCUCUUUCAGCAGGGACGAAAAUGACGGUACCUGCAGAAGAAGCUCCGGCCAACUACGUGCCAGCAGCCGCGGUAACACGUAGGGAGCAAGCGUUGUCCGGAUUUAUUGGGCGUAAAGAGCUCGUAGGCGGUUCAGUCAGUCGGGUGUGAAAACUUGAGGCUCAACCUCAAGAGGCCACUCGAUACUGCUGUGACUAGAGUCCGGUAGAGGAGUGUGGAAUUCCUGGUGUAGCGGUGAAAUGCGCAGAUAUCAGGAGGAACACCGACAGCGAAGGCAGCACUCUGGGCCGGUACUGACGCUGAGGAGCGAAAGCAUGGGGAGCAAACAGGAUUAGAUACCCUGGUAGUCCAUGCCGUAAACGUUGGGCACUAGGUGUGGGGUCUCGCUAACAGAUUCCGUGCCGCAGCUAACGCAUUAAGUGCCCCGCCUGGGGAGUACGGCCGCAAGGNUAAAA